Molecule: ribosomal RNA, 332 nt
Filed under: uncultured Methylobacter sp.
Lineage: Bacteria; Pseudomonadati; Pseudomonadota; Gammaproteobacteria; Methylococcales; Methylococcaceae
Description: bacterial SSU rRNA
Rfam family: Bacterial small subunit ribosomal RNA
Source: RNAcentral
UGCGUAGGCGGUUAUUUAAGUCAGAUGUGAAAGCCCCGGGCUUAACCUGGGAACUGCAUUUGAUACUGGGUAACUAGAGUUUAAUAGAGGAGAGUGGAAUUUCAGGUGUAGCGGUGAAAUGCGUAGAGAUCUGAAGGAACACCAGUGGCGAAGGCGACUCUCUGGAUUAAAACUGACGCUGAGGUACGAAAGCGUGGGUAGCAAACAGGAUUAGAUACCCUGGUAGUCCACGCCGUAAACGAUGUCAACUAGCCGUUGGGCCUUUUUACAGGCUUAGUGGCGCAGCUAACGCAUUAAGUUGACCGCCUGGGGAGUACGGCCGCAAGGUUAAA